RNAcentral lists this unclassified non-coding RNA (634 nucleotides) under Hevea brasiliensis (rubber tree). Lineage: Eukaryota; Viridiplantae; Streptophyta; Magnoliopsida; Malpighiales; Euphorbiaceae. The record is from RNAcentral.
UGUCUAUUCUCUUCAGCAGUCCAAGCCCGAGUCCAAAUUGCCCAAGGAGUGAGAGACACACUAGUCUCAUCCUGAAUUCCAUCCAGGGUGUUGAGGAUUGAUUGGUAUGUUGGGACUGCUUCUUCUGUUAUCAUAUCCCCAACCAACACCACAAAAUAGUCAUCAGAAAGUUCCUUUGUUCUUUCCCUCAGCUCCUUAACCUGAUCGUAGAACUCUUCAGAGUCAGGUUCUGGCAGAAAAUCCUGCGGCUGCCAGGACUUCUCGACAGGCUUUAGAAGUGUCAAUAAGUUCUUCUCAGCCCAACCCUCCAAGGAUUUGAAAAUCUCAAUCUUUUGUGGUGGCAUGGAAUGAGUUAUUUGAAAAUGCACCUCUUUGGCAGGGCGGUAGGAUCUUUCUACAUUUACCUUCUCCCUGAAACUUGUAGCAGUGGAUUGGGGGGUGGAGGCCAUCAAGAUUUUGGAAGACUUGGCAUUUUGGGUUGGGAAGGCUACUGGACCAAGAUUCAGAAUCAUUUUUGCUUACUUAGUAGUAAUGAAGUAGGCAAAACUAAAGAAGAGAUGGACAGAAGUUACAGAACAGGAAAAUAAUUACAGAGGUGGCGCAGGUGGAAAUUAAUUACAGGGCAAGAAGGACG